This 536-nucleotide ribosomal RNA is filed under the name uncultured Gammaproteobacteria bacterium. RNAcentral describes it as "bacterial SSU rRNA". It matches the Rfam family "Bacterial small subunit ribosomal RNA", at positions 964 to 1504 of the family's 1533-position model. Lineage: Bacteria; Pseudomonadati; Pseudomonadota; Gammaproteobacteria. The record is from RNAcentral.
AAGAACCUUACCGGGGCUUGACAUCUGCGGAAAUCCCAUGAAAGUGGGCUUCGGGGCAACCCGACCGCAAGACAGGUGCUGCAUGGCUGUCGUCAGCUCGUGCCGUGAGGUGUUGGGUUAAGUCCCGCAACGAGCGCAACCCUUGUCGUGUGUUGGUCCACAAGAUCUCUCACACGAGACCGCCGGCGAGAAGCCGGAGGAAGGUGGGGAUGACGUCAAGUCAGCAUGGCCCUUACGUCCCGGGCUACACACGUGCUACAAUGCGCGCGACAGCGAGCCGCAAACUUGUGAAAGUAAGCCAAUCUCUGAAACGCGCGCUCAGUUCGGAUUGAAGGCUGCAACUCGCCUUCAUGAAGUCGGAAUCGCUAGUAAACGCAGAUCAGCUACGCUGCGUUGAAUACGUUCCCGGGCCUUGUACACACCGCCCGUCACGUCACCUGAGUUUAGUGUACCCGAAGCCGUCCGUGCAACCGCAAGGAGCAAGACGUCUAAGGUAUGCUAGGUAAGGGGGACGAAGUCGUAACAAGGUAGCCGUA